RNAcentral lists this ribosomal RNA (440 nucleotides) under uncultured bacterium. RNAcentral describes it as "partial 16S ribosomal RNA". It matches the Rfam family "Bacterial small subunit ribosomal RNA", at positions 338 to 795 of the family's 1533-position model. The record is from RNAcentral.
CCUACGGGAGGCAGCAGUAGGGAAUAUUGCUCAAUGGGGGAAACUCUGAAGCAGCAACGCAGCGUGGAGGAUGAAGGUUUUCGGAUUGUAAACUCCUUUUGUUAGAGAAGAUAAUGACGGUAUCUAACGAAUAAGCACCGGCUAACUCCGUGCCAGCAGCCGCGGUAAUACGGAGGGUGCAAGCGUUACUCGGAAUCACUGGGCGUAAAGAGCGCGUAGGCGGGUUAGCAAGUCAGAUGUGAAAUCCUAUGGCUUAACCAUAGAACUGCAUUUGAAACUGUUAGUCUAGAGUAUGGGAGAGGUAGGUGGAAUUCGUGGUGUAGGGGUAAAAUCCGUAGAGAUCAAGAGGAAUACUCAUUGCGAAGGCGACCUGCUAGAACAUAACUGACGCUGAUGCGCGAAAGCGUGGGGAGCAAACAGGAUUAGAUACCCCGGUAGUA